Molecule: ribosomal RNA, 1404 nt
Filed under: Staphylococcus aureus M1477
Lineage: Bacteria; Bacillati; Bacillota; Bacilli; Caryophanales; Staphylococcaceae
Description: bacterial LSU rRNA
Rfam family: Bacterial large subunit ribosomal RNA
Source: RNAcentral
GUAAGGCUGAGUAUUAGGCAAAUCCGGUACUCGUUAAGGCUGAGCUGUGAUGGGGAGAAGACAUUGUGUCUUCGAGUCGUUGAUUUCACACUGCCGAGAAAAGCCUCUAGAUAGAAAAUAGGUGCCCGUACCGCAAACCGACACAGGUAGUCAAGAUGAGAAUUCUAAGGUGAGCGAGCGAACUCUCGUUAAGGAACUCGGCAAAAUGACCCCGUAACUUCGGGAGAAGGGGUGCUCUUUAGGGUUAACGCCCAGAAGAGCCGCAGUGAAUAGGCCCAAGCGACUGUUUAUCAAAAACACAGGUCUCUGCUAAACCGUAAGGUGAUGUAUAGGGGCUGACGCCUGCCCGGUGCUGGAAGGUUAAGAGGAGUGGUUAGCUUCUGCGAAGCUACGAAUCGAAGCCCCAGUAAACGGCGGCCGUAACUAUAACGGUCCUAAGGUAGCGAAAUUCCUUGUCGGGUAAGUUCCGACCCGCACGAAAGGCGUAACGAUUUGGGCACUGUCUCAACGAGAGACUCGGUGAAAUCAUAGUACCUGUGAAGAUGCAGGUUACCCGCGACAGGACGGAAAGACCCCGUGGAGCUUUACUGUAGCCUGAUAUUGAAAUUCGGCACAGCUUGUACAGGAUAGGUAGGAGCCUUUGAAACGUGAGCGCUAGCUUACGUGGAGGCGCUGGUGGGAUACUACCCUAGCUGUGUUGGCUUUCUAACCCGCACCACUUAUCGUGGUGGGAGACAGUGUCAGGCGGGCAGUUUGACUGGGGCGGUCGCCUCCUAAAAGGUAACGGAGGCGCUCAAAGGUUCCCUCAGAAUGGUUGGAAAUCAUUCAUAGAGUGUAAAGGCAUAAGGGAGCUUGACUGCGAGACCUACAAGUCGAGCAGGGUCGAAAGACGGACUUAGUGAUCCGGUGGUUCCGCAUGGAAGGGCCAUCGCUCAACGGAUAAAAGCUACCCCGGGGAUAACAGGCUUAUCUCCCCCAAGAGUUCACAUCGACGGGGAGGUUUGGCACCUCGAUGUCGGCUCAUCGCAUCCUGGGGCUGUAGUCGGUCCCAAGGGUUGGGCUGUUCGCCCAUUAAAGCGGUACGCGAGCUGGGUUCAGAACGUCGUGAGACAGUUCGGUCCCUAUCCGUCGUGGGCGUAGGAAAUUUGAGAGGAGCUGUCCUUAGUACGAGAGGACCGGGAUGGACAUACCUCUGGUGUACCAGUUGUCGUGCCAACGGCAUAGCUGGGUAGCUAUGUGUGGACGGGAUAAGUGCUGAAAGCAUCUAAGCAUGAAGCCCCCCUCAAGAUGAGAUUUCCCAACUUCGGUUAUAAGAUCCCUCAAAGAUGAUGAGGUUAAUAGGUUCGAGGUGGAAGCAUGGUGACAUGUGGAGCUGACGAAUACUAAUCGAUCGAAGACUUAAUC